UAUGCUUCCCUUAAAUGUUUAUCUUUUUGUCAUGAACCCGUGUCAAAUUGAUGGUGAUUGGGGUCCAACGUGGUGGCCUAGCGGGGCUGACAAAUUGAAGUAAUAACCUUAAUCAUUUGUCCGAGUAGAGGCAACACAAGGUAAGUUCUUAUAUUCUUUCUACAUCUUGCUGGGUAGAGUUAUAUUGUACAUAUAUGGUUGAAUUAGUUGAGGUGCAUUCAAGUUGGCAUGACUCUAUGAUUUCAUUAGAUAAAAUCUUUAGAAAUCUACAUUGUCCAUUGGGAUUCUAUUAUUAAGAAGAAUAAUAUAAA
RNAcentral lists this unclassified non-coding RNA (311 nucleotides) under Hevea brasiliensis (rubber tree). The record is from RNAcentral. Lineage: Eukaryota; Viridiplantae; Streptophyta; Magnoliopsida; Malpighiales; Euphorbiaceae.